Molecule: long non-coding RNA, 1733 nt
Organism: Rhineura floridana
Lineage: Eukaryota; Metazoa; Chordata; Lepidosauria; Squamata; Rhineuridae
Exons: 5
Source: RefSeq, a predicted model, not a curated record
UCUUGUGGCUGCUAGCUCAUGAGCACAAGGGUGCAGCAUCCUCUAAAAAGAGCUGUUCGAUCCUAUAUAUUUACUCGGAAAUUUGCUCCUGAGCAAUCAACAGGCCUUAGUCUCGGUAAUUGUGCAAAUAAUUGUAGCCCUAACCAAGAAACGAAGACUAACUUAACAGCACAGAUUUAUGAACGAAAAAUACACAAGGGACGCCCGUAAUUCAUCCUUCUCGCAACGUGCAGCGUGGGAGUCACUUUUUCCCCAGCUUGAGCCAAGUCGGAGAGAGGAGUUUCACUUACACGUGACCACAUCGCGUCCUUAUGGGCUGGUGGAGCACCUCCAAACAGAUGGAGCAGUCAAAAGAUGGGACCUGCGGCUGUUUCUCCUCUUCUACCGUACCCAACUGUAGAGUGGUCGCCACCUCCCGAUUGUCGCUGCUUAGUACGGAUCCCAUCGUCUAAAGAUACUUUUGGGAGGUAACAAGUCUCUUGGCGCCGGCUGGUCCUGCUGUUGCCGAACUUGCAGCGCACUAUAAUGCUUUGCAGCUAGAAUUUUUUUCCCCCGAUUGCAGGAUUUCACCUUGCAGCAAAGGAAAAGCCGCGGGAGCCGCAAAUCUCACUCUGUGGAACGAACUCUCCGAGACCACGUUAGGACCGUCUGUUGCGGCAGCACCGUCGACACCCUGCAAAAAUAUUCUUGGUGGCGGCAGGGCCAGUCCAAGCCGGCACGGAGAAACCUGACACCCUCAGCUAGACAAAAGGGGGGAACUGGCCAAUCGGUGGCCUGGGUUGCCAGGAAAAAGAAGCAGUUUGUCUGAACAUCAUAUUGUUUAUUUCCAUCAAGGAACUUGGAUCUACUACUGUCGAUCAUCUUUCUAAUGUAAAUGCUGCUGAUCAGGCUGCAGCUCAUGGCAUAAAACCGUAGUGGAUAAAAACAGAACGACUAAUGGAGAAGAGAAGGGGCCCAAAAGAAACUUUGUACCCCCUGAUAAAAUUCCUCUCAAAGGCCCUGCUGGACGAGCUUAAUCAGUGUACAGAAUCAGUAAUGGACUGGAACAGAAGCAUGAUCAUCACAAGGGUGGUGGUUCAUCUGAUUUGAUAGGUGGUAUUCUGGAUAGAGUUACAUUCUCCCUUGAAGAAUCAGGCCUGCUGUCUAGAGGUGCUGUUCAUUCAGCAGCAGUUUAUUCAGAAUUGUCUUGGAGAGACACAACCAGGUUUACAAGACCUCUGAAUACUCCUGGACUUGCCGUCUUCUAUCUCAUGGUCAAAGUGCCAAUUCUAAAUCUCCAUACAAUCGUAUGUAGUCACUGAUUUUUGAAAGGAUGUUCUCUGCUUCCUGGUUGUGUUAUAUAAUAUCUAAACAGUGGCACUUAUUUGGUUGUGUCCAACAUUUAUAGCUGAUGGCAGCCUUGGAUAUCUGAUGUGCUUUGAUCUUCUUGGUGAGAUUCUUCAAGUCUUUGCCUCCUCUGUGUGUCCAUGUCUUCUCACUUACAAAUAGCAAAUACAGGAAGAGAACAAUGCAUCUUUGAACGAUCUUCCACAUACCUAUUUCUUCCUUUUAUACCACACUAUGAAACAUUUCCUGGAGUAUAUUUUUCUUCUGUCACUUGCAGCUUGCUGCAGCAACAGUAAAGGACUGUCCAGUUCUUUAAUUCUGUCCUUGUCUUCUAAAGGUGGUCCAGAGAAAAAGGUUACCAGGAAGGCUUCUACUUUAUUCAACCUGUAAAAUAAAAACAAAGACAA